This 1091-nucleotide long non-coding RNA is filed under the name Homo sapiens (human). Its description in RNAcentral is "HSALNT0289706". The record is from RNAcentral. Lineage: Eukaryota; Metazoa; Chordata; Mammalia; Primates; Hominidae.
GCGGGGCGCUGGGGUGGGACGCUGGGGGCAGGCGCGCAGCCCACCGCCUCCCUGAGAGGCCGCUGAGGACAGCGGGGAGCUGAGGGUGGUCCCCUGGUGGGGGAUCAGGAGGUGGACCUCGCCACCUGGCUGCCUGUGGCCCUCUCCUUUGCCCCAACCCUGACUGCCUCUCAGGAACAACCACAGGUCAGCAAGGUGGCUGAAUAUUGAGGGUCAGUCCCGCUGUGGCUACGGGCAGAGGGCAGGCUGUGUCCAUGCUCAGCCCUGACUCUGGCCCUCUGGGACACCUUGGUGGGUCUGAGACGUUGCUGCAGGCCGUGGGGCAGAAGCCAGGAGGAGUGUCCACGCAGCCUCAGCCCGUGGGAAUCCAGCCUGCCUCCAUUACUGCCGUCACCGGCUCCACCUUCGGAGAACAUCUCAGCAUCCAGCCUCCUUCCUCUGCCUCCUCUCAGGCCUCUGCCGUUCCCAUGCAGGGCAGGCCAAACUGUUUUCACAGCAUGGAAAGUUAUGUGAGGGAAGCCACACCGGCCGCAGAUACAGGCACCAGCACAUCCACUCGCAUGCACACUCACGGCUGUGGCCCGCGGCAGAUGGAGGCCCGCUCUGCCUUGUCUGUCCCUCAGUAGUGUGCGAUGACAGCACACCUGUGGGGGCCCUGCAGCUGGGAAGACUGCAGCGAGGCUCAACUCAGAGGCCCCUGCUCAGGAGCAUGGCUGAGUCACACCCCAGGGAGAAGGUGCCCCGGACAGGUGUGGCCAGCACGUCUUGCCAAGACCCCACCACCCCACCCACCCGCAUCUGUGGCCUUCUGGAACCGAGCUGUGGCCUGGGGUUCCAUGGAGCAGGUGGGGCGCGGAGGAACUGAGCUGUGGCCUGGGGUUCCGUGGAGCAGGUUGAGUAUGGAGGAACUGGGGUUCCGUGGAGCAGGUGGGGCGCAGAGGAACCGAGCUGUGGAAUGGGGUUCCGUGGAGCAGAAGUCCAACACCUCCGAGAGGACUCAAAACACAGAGUGACCAGCUCCUAUGUGCAUUUCCUGGACAAACCUUUUUUUUUUUUUUUUUUUUGAGACGGAGUCUCGCUCUGUCGCCCAG